UCCUAACCUAGCCCACAGACCUCCAUGCAGACCCAACUUACAAAAAUUGGAUUACAUGCAUUGUACAUGGAUUAGUGGUUCGAUUAGAUAUUUUUAUCAAACCAAUUAUAUCAGUUUGGUAAGAAAAUAAAUUAUGAAUAGUAAGAAAGAUUGCAUUUUCAUUUUAUUUAUUUAUUUAUUAUUUUUUUUUUUUGCUCUAACCAGUUUGAUUGGUUUGUCUAGAUUUUUUCUGACCAGCUCAAUUGCAUAAUUGGUAUGGUUGGGUUAGGUGUUUGCAGGUUAAAUGCUGUUAAGGGAUUAAACAAUAUUACUUCCACUUUCCCAAGUGCGCCUUUCAAUGUUGAAUGACCAUCAAAUACUGUUUAUGUUGCUGAGAGUGUGCAUGAACUUAACGAAUUGGGCAUCCAAGUUCACUUUCAGAGUUGAAAGAAAAUGAAUUCUGUCAGUCUAGCAAUGAUGAAUUCAAAGAUUACAUAUCCAUCAAAACCCCUUUUCAUCCACGAAUUCUGUCAGUCUUAGCAGUGAUGAAUUCAAAAAUUAGAUAUCCAUCAAACCCUUUUUCA
Ziziphus jujuba (common jujube) is the source of this 563-nucleotide long non-coding RNA. RefSeq lists it as uncharacterized. The transcript has 2 exons. NCBI's taxonomy places the organism in Eukaryota, Viridiplantae, Streptophyta, Magnoliopsida, Rosales, Rhamnaceae. The record is from RefSeq and is a predicted model, not a curated record.